This 663-nucleotide ribosomal RNA is filed under the name Fischerella sp. 52-1. Its description in RNAcentral is "bacterial SSU rRNA". It matches the Rfam family "Bacterial small subunit ribosomal RNA", at positions 99 to 795 of the family's 1533-position model. The record is from RNAcentral. Lineage: Bacteria; Bacillati; Cyanobacteriota; Cyanophyceae; Nostocales; Hapalosiphonaceae.
CGGACGGGUGAGUAACGCGUGAGAAUCUGGCUCUAGGUUCGGGACAACCACUGGAAACGGUGGCUAAUACCGGAUGUGCCGAGAGGUGAAAGGUUAGCUGCCUGGAGAUGAGCUCGCGUCUGAUUAGCUAGUUGGUGGUGUAAGGGACUACCAAGGCGACGAUCAGUAGCUGGUCUGAGAGGAUGAUCAGCCACACUGGAACUGAGACACGGUCCAGACUCCUACGGGAGGCAGCAGUGGGGAAUUUUCCGCAAUGGGCGAAAGCCUGACGGAGCAAUACCGCGUGAGGGAGGAAGGCUCUUGGGUUGUAAACCUCUUUUCUCAGGGAAUAAGCAAGUGAAGGUACCUGAGGAAUCAGCAUCGGCUAACUCCGUGCCAGCAGCCGCGGUAAUACGGAGGAUGCAAGCGUUAUCCGGAAUGAUUGGGCGUAAAGCGUCCGUAGGUAGCAGUGUGUGUCUAUUGUUAAAGAGUUUGGCUUAACCAAAUAAGGGCGGUAGAAACUACACAGCUAGAGUGCGUUCGGGGCAGAGGGAAUUCCUGGUGUAGCGGUGAAAUGCGUAGAGAUCAGGAAGAACACCGGUGGCGAAAGCGCUCUGCUAGGCCGCAACUGACACUGAGGGACGAAAGCUAGGGGAGCGAAUGGGAUUAGAUACCCCUGUAGUC